GCUGUGUUACUUUAGGUUGACUGGUCAUUAAGGCUGUGUGUGUUACUAUAUGUUGACUAGUCAUUAAGGCUGUGUUACUUUAGGUUGACUAGUCAUUAAGGCUGUGUUACUUUAGGUUGACUAGUCAUUAAGGCUGUUUUACUUUAGGUUGACUAGUCAUUAAGGCUGUGUUACUUUAGGUUGACUAGUCAUUAAGGCUGUGUUACUUUAGGUUGACUAGUCAUUAAGGCUGUGUUACUAUAGGUUGACUAGUCAUUAAAGCUGUGUGUUUUACUUUAGGUUGACUAGUCAUUAAGGCUGUGUGUGUUACUUUAGGUUGACUAGUCAUUAAGGCUGUGUGUUGUACUAUAGGUUGACUAGUCAUUAAGGCUGUGUUACUUUAGGUUGACUAGUCAUUAAGGCUGUGUUACUAUAGGUUGACUAGUCAUUAAGGCUGUGUGUGUUACUUUAGGUUGACUAGUCAUUAAGGCUGUGUUACUUUAGGUUGACUAGUCAUUAAGGUUGUGUGUGUUACUAUAGGUUGACUAGUCAUUAAGGCUGUGUUACUUUAGGUUGACUAGUCAUUAAGGCUUUGUUUGUUACUUUAGGUUGACUAGUCAUUAAGGCUGUGUUACUUUAGGUUGACUAGUCAUUAAGGCUGUGUUACUAUAGGUUGACUAGUCAUUAAGGAUGUGUGUUUUACUUUAGGUUGACUAGUCAUUAAGGCUGUGUUACUUUAGGCUGACUAGUCAUUAAAACUGUGUGUGUUACUUUAGGUUGACUAGUCAUUAAGGCUGUGUGUUUUACUUUAGGUUGACUAGUCAUUAAGGCUGUGUGUUUUACUUUAGGUUGACUAGUCAUUAAGGCUGUGUGUGUUACUAUAGGUUGACUAGUCAUUAAGGCUGUGUUACUUUAGGUUGACUGGUCAUUAAGGCUGUGUUUCUAUAGGUUGACUAGUCAUUAAGGAUGUGUUACUAUAGGUUGACUAAUCAUUAAGGCUGUGCUACUUUAGGUUGACUAGUCAUUAAGGCUGUGUUACUUUAGGUUGACUGGUCAUUAAGGCUGUGUGUUUUACUUUAGGUUGACUAGUCAUUAAGGCUGUGUGUUUUACUUUAGGUUGACUAGUCAUUAAGGCUGUGUGUGUUACUAUAGGUUGACUAGUCAUUAAGGCUGUGUUACUUUAGGUUGACUGGUCAUUAAGGCUGUGUUACUAUAGGUUGACAAGUCAUUAAGGCUGUGUUACUUUAGGUUGACUAGUCAUUAAGGCUGUGUUACUAUAGGUUGACUAGUCAUUAAGGCUGUGUUACUUUAGGUUGACUAGUCAUUAAGGCUGUGUUACUUUAGGCUGACUAGUCAUUAAGGCUGUGUUACUUUAGGUUGACUAGUCAUUAAGGCUGUGUGUGUUACUUUAGGUUGACUAGUCAUUAAGGCUGUGUGUGUUACUAUAGGUUGACUAGUCAUUAAGCCUGUGUUACUUUAGGCUGACUAGUCAUUAAAACUGUGUGUGUUACUUUAGGUUGACUAGUCAUUAAGGCUGUGUGUUUUACUUUAGGUUGACUAGUCAUUAAGGCUGUGUGUUUUACUUUAGGUUGACUAGUCAUUAAGGCUGUGUGUGUUACUAUAGGUUGACUAGUCAUUAAGGCUGUGUUACUUUAGGUUGACUGGUCAUUAAGGCUGUGUUACUAUAGGUUGACUAGUCAUUAAGGCUGUGUUACUUUAGGUUGACUAGUCAUUAAGGCUGUGUUACUUUAGGUUGACUGGUCAUUAAGGCUGUGUGUGUUACUAUAUGUUGACUAGUCAUUAAGGCUGUGUUACUUUAGGUUGACUAGUCAUUAAGGCUGUGUUACUUUAGGUUGACUAGUCAUUAAGGCUGUGUUGCUUUAGGUUGACUAGUCAUUAAGGCUGUGUUACUUUAGGUUGACUAGUCAUUAAGGCUGUGUUACUUUAGGUUGACUAGUCAUUAAGGCAGUGUGUUGUACUGUUGGUUGACUAGUCAUUAAGGCUGUGUGUUGUACUAUUGGUUGACUAGUCAUUAAGGCUGUGUUACUUUAGGUUGACUAGUCAUUAAGGCUGUGUGUUGUACUAUAGGUUGACUAGUCAUUAAGGCUGUGUUACUUUAGGUUGACUAGUCAUUAAGGCUGUGUUACUAUAGGUUGACUAGUCAUUAAGGCUGUGUGUUUUACUUUAGGUUGACUAGUCAUUAAGGCUGUGUUACUUUAGGUUGACUAGUCAUUAAGGCUGUGUUACUAUAGGUUGACUAGUCAUUAAGGCUGUGUUACUUUAGGUUGACUGGUCUAUAUUAUUAUAGUGUUCUAUAUUGUUAUAGUGUUCUAUAUUGUUAUAGUGUUCUAUAUUGUUAUAGUGUUCUGUAUUGUUCUAGUGUUCUAUAUUAUUAUAAUGUUCUAUAUUGUUAUAGUGUUCUAUAUUGUUAUAGUGUUCUAUAUUGUUAUAGUGUUCUAUAUUAUUAUAGUGUUCUAUAUUGUUGU
Molecule: long non-coding RNA, 2465 nt
Filed under: Salmo salar (Atlantic salmon)
Lineage: Eukaryota; Metazoa; Chordata; Actinopteri; Salmoniformes; Salmonidae
Description: lncRNA (ENSSSAG00000110362.1)
Source: RNAcentral